AUUACUUUGGCAGAAUAAUGUAUUAAAUUUAGAAUUUAAUUAUGAAUUUUUAUUCAAGUAAUA
RNAcentral lists this transfer RNA (63 nucleotides) under Mirax sp. QL-2014. RNAcentral describes it as "tRNA-Leu". Lineage: Eukaryota; Metazoa; Arthropoda; Insecta; Hymenoptera; Braconidae. The record is from RNAcentral.